RNAcentral lists this long non-coding RNA (1314 nucleotides) under Sus scrofa (pig). RNAcentral describes it as "lncRNA (ENSSSCG00050037448.1)". Lineage: Eukaryota; Metazoa; Chordata; Mammalia; Artiodactyla; Suidae. The record is from RNAcentral.
CAGGCCCCGCCCCCAGAGCGGGCCGCCCAUUCCCCGCCUCCACGCUCUCCAGUGUGGGGUCCGCCCUGCAGCCCCGCCCCCUAACCCCGGCCGGGUCGUUUCGGUCCCCAUUCCCCAUUCUUUCUCAGAAGACUCUUCAGUGGGUUCAGCACACGUCUCUCCUGUCCGCAACAGAGAAACAAGAUACCUGAGUGCCUCCCACGACCAUGUGACUUCUUACAGGGCAAGGACAGCCAUACCCAGCAAAGCUUCUAGUCCUCCUGCCACCACCUCAUCACUUUCUUGCCUAUCACAAGCCAUGUUCCCCUGUGCACUGAGGGUUCCAGCCUCAGCCAUGGACCCUUUCAUCUUUUUAAGGUGCCCAGCACCCACUCCACACACAUCUUCCCUUAGGACCAUUGACCAUUUUGCGCAUUACAAGACGUGUGCAGCACCCCUGCCUCUGCCCAUUGGCUGUGAUGAUGAACAUGUCUCUGGACGUUGCCGAAAUUCCCGAGGGGGUCAAAUGCACACCCUCCUCCCAGAACCACUGCUCUAGGUAUCUACAGACCCAUUUAUUUAUAUAAAUAUUUUCCACAGUCUCACCUAAAUUUGUGUGUACACAUUUGUGUACAGGGAAAGCUGGUGACAAGCGGCCUUAGACAAUACCAAUGUCAGGUAAACACUCAAUUCUGGGAAGCCCUGGAAAUUCUUUAAAGCCAAUAACCAAAACCUGCUCAAUAUUACAAAGCAUUUUCCAACCCCCAAAAGGUUUGUAAAUUCAUCCUUUUAUAACUCUUCAAGUUUCUAAGAUAUCUGCAAGUCUGAAUCUCUAACUCUUCAAUUCCCCUAAAUUAUGAAUGAAAAUUUCUGCCUCGGGGCAAAGAUGCAUGAAAUAAGAUUAAGACUGUGGUUGGCUUGGUGACUGCUUUCUGUUGACAAGUAAGCUUAGCUGUAACCUUGAAAUUCAUACCUGCUAUUCAAUUCUGUCUCCAGGCCAAGGAGGACUCAGAAGAAGGAAAACAAAGUGAAGCAAGGUACGGAAACAGUUACUAAACAUUUUCCAUCCCAGCACUCUAUCUUCUUUAGAUGUUUAGAGUGGUGAUGGUGGGGGUAUGUGUGUAAAACCCUAGAGAAGUAAACAAUGCUCUUAAAUCAUGAAUCUCUAUCUCCUGGAAAACAAACUCUAUAACCCAGAGACAGAGAAAUAAUUUCUUUCUAGCUUCAUCAAAAGGCACCGCACUAACUAAUCCCCAGGCUCAUCAAAGUGUGACUCUCUGGAUUAGGAAGAAACAAAGGAAUAAACACUGCAUUGACAGUAUUUCUAAAAAUGGU